GACGAACGCUGGCGGCGUGCCUAAUACAUGCAAGUUGAGCGCUGAAGGUUGGUACUUGUACCAACUGGAUGAGCAGCGAACGGGUGAGUAACGCGUGGGGAAUCUGCCUUUGAGCGGGGGACAACAUUUGGAAGCGAAUGCUAAUACCGCAUAAAAACUUUAAACACAAGUUUUAAGUUUGAAAGAUGCAAUUGCAUCACUCAAAGAUGAUCCCGCGUUGUAUUAGCUAGUUGGUGAGGUAAAGGCUCACCAAGGCGAUGAUACAUAGCCGACCUGAGAGGGUGAUCGGCCACAUUGGGACUGAGACACGGCCAAAACUCCUACGGGAGGCAGCAGUAGGGAAUCUUCGGCAAUGGACGAAAGUCUGACCGAGCAACGCCGCGUGAGUGAAGAAGGUUUUCGGAUCGUAAAACUCUGUUGGUAGAGAAGAACGUUGGUGAGAGUGGAAAGCUCAUCAAGUGACGGUAACUACCCAGAAAGGGACGGCUAACUACGUG
This 497-nucleotide ribosomal RNA is filed under the name uncultured bacterium. RNAcentral's name for it is "partial 16S ribosomal RNA". It matches the Rfam family "Bacterial small subunit ribosomal RNA", at positions 28 to 507 of the family's 1533-position model. The record is from RNAcentral.